GUUUCUAUAGUUGAAUAACAACGAUGAUUUUUCAUGUCAUUGGUCAUAGUNAAAGUCUAUGUAGAAAUU
Molecule: transfer RNA, 69 nt
Filed under: Microtus obscurus (Altai voie)
Lineage: Eukaryota; Metazoa; Chordata; Mammalia; Rodentia; Cricetidae
Description: tRNA-Glu
Source: RNAcentral